RNAcentral lists this ribosomal RNA (1448 nucleotides) under uncultured bacterium. Its description in RNAcentral is "partial 16S ribosomal RNA". It matches the Rfam family "Bacterial small subunit ribosomal RNA", at positions 15 to 1380 of the family's 1533-position model. The record is from RNAcentral.
GAUCCUGGCUCAGGAUGAACGCUAGCGUAAGGCCUAACACAUGCAAGUCGAGGGGCAGCGGUAAUAAGCAGCUUAUUUGCCGGCGACCGGCUACGGGUGCGUAACGCCAUAUUUCCUACCUCUAUCUGGAAGAUAGCCCGAAGAAAUUCGGAUUAAUACUCCAUUCGUAUUACGAUGUGGCAUAAGCAAUGUAAUUAAAGCUCCGGCGGAUAGAGAUGGGCAUGCGUGACAUUAGUUUGUUGGUAGAGGUAACGGCUCACCAAGACUACGAUGUCUAGGGGUUCUGAGAGGAUGAUCCCCCACACUGGUACUGAGACACGGACCAGACUCCUACGGGAGGCAGCAGUGAGGAAUAUUGGUCAAUGGACGCAACCUCUGAACCAGCCAUGCCGCGUGCAGGAUGAAGGCCCUACGGGUUGUAAACUGCUUUUAUUCGGGAAUAAACCCCUCUACGUGUAGAGGGCUGAAGGUACCGAAUGAAUAAGCACCGGCUAACUCCGUGCCAGCAGCCGCGGUAAUACGGAGGGUGCAAGCGUUAUCCGGAUUUAUUGCAGGAGAGUUUAAAGGGUGCGUAGGUGGGAAAUUAAGUCAGUGCUGAAAUCCUACAGCUCAACUGUAGAACUGUAUUAUUUGAUACUGGUUUUCUUGAAUAUCACGGUCCCUUGAAGUGACAAGCGGAAUAUGACAAACACCGUAGCGGUGAAAUGCUUAGAGAUGUCAUAGAACACCGAUUGCGAAGGCAGCUCUUCUAACCCGGUAUUGCAUAUCAGAGGAGGCACCCCGUUAAAGCGAAGAUUUUAGGGAUCAAUUACAGAGAGGAUUAGAUACCCUGGUAGUCCACGCCGUAAACGAUGAUUAUAUCGCUAUUGGCAAUACACAGUCAGUGGUAUAUAAGCGAAAGCAUUAAGUAAUCCACCUGGGGAGUACGAUCGUAUAUGGAGGUUGAAACUCAAAGGAAUUGACGGGGGCCCGCACAAGCGGUGGAGCAUGUGGUUUAAUUCGAUGAUAGAGGGAACCUUACCAGGGCUUGAACGCAUUAUGACAGGCCGGCAGGAGAAACCUAUUAUUCCUUCUUCGGACAUUUUGCGAGGUGCUGCAUGGCUGUCGUCAGCUCGUGCCGAUAUGAGGUGUUGGAUAUAUAAGUCCCGCAACGAGCGCAACCCCUAUCUUUAGUUGCCAGCGAGUAAUGUCGGGGACUCUAAAGAAACUAUUUAGCGCAAGCGGUGAGGAAGGUGGGGACGACGUCAAGUAUUCACGGCCCUUACGUCCUGGGCUACACACGCAGGAGUACAAUGGCCGGUCACGAGUUGGGCAGCCACUUGGUGACAAGGAGCUAAUCCCCAAAGCCGGUCUCAGUUCGGAUUGGAGUCUGCAACUCGACUCUAUGAACACAUGGAAUCGCUAGUAAUCGGAUAUCAGCAAUGAUCCGGUGAAUACGUUCCCGGGCC